RNAcentral lists this ribosomal RNA (452 nucleotides) under uncultured bacterium. Its description in RNAcentral is "bacterial SSU rRNA". It matches the Rfam family "Bacterial small subunit ribosomal RNA", at positions 139 to 598 of the family's 1533-position model. The record is from RNAcentral.
GGGGAUAACGGAGCGAAAGCGACGCUAAUACCGCAUACGAUCUAUGGAUGAAAGCGGGGAUCGCAAGACCUCGCGCGAUUGGAGCGGCCGAUAUCAGAUUAGGUGUUGGUGGGGUAAAAGCCCACCAAGCCGACGAUCUGUAGCUGGUCUGAGGGACGACCAGCCACACUGGGACUGAGACACGGCCCAGACUCCUACGGGAGCAGCAGUGGGGAAUUUUGGACAAUGGGCGCAAGCCUGAUCCGCAAUGCCGCGUGCAGGAUGAAGGCCUUCGGGUUGUAAACUGCUUUUGUCGGAACGAAACGGCCUUUUCUAAUACAGAAGGCUAAUGACGGGACCGGAGAAUAAGCACCGGCUAACUACGUGCCAGCAGCCGCGGGAAUACGUAGGGGCGAGCGUUAAUCGGAAUUACUGGGCGAAAGCGUGCGCAGGCGGGUUUGGACAGAAGUGAA